Molecule: long non-coding RNA, 1691 nt
Filed under: Vitis vinifera (wine grape)
Lineage: Eukaryota; Viridiplantae; Streptophyta; Magnoliopsida; Vitales; Vitaceae
Description: long non-coding RNA (VVIN_LNC001172)
Source: RNAcentral
GGGCAUGUAGGAACAGUUGGAGGUUUGGCAUGGUGAGAAAAUCAUAUGGAGAGAAUUACUCAAAUUCUAUUAUUCUAGAGAGUUAAACCCAGGAAUGUAAUACAUAAAUAAGAAAAAUAAAAUAAUAAUCAAAAUGCAUUGCAUGAUUUUUCUUUCUUUCUUUCUUUUUUCCUUUUGUUUUUAAGGUUGAGCCUUAAAUGAAAGGAAGUUUCUGCUGUGCAUACAUAUCAAUUCUGUAUGAGAAUUUAGUCAUUGUACUUGGGUUGGUUAUAAUCUUGAAGAUAGUUAUUUUGAAGUGGUAAAAUUUAUCACACAAAACUGGUGCUACGAAAAAAAGGAUUUUGUCCAUCUAGUUAUCUUAAACUUAGAACAAGUAGUCCAUAAUUCUUUAGUUCUAGUUGUUACAUGCCUACUGGUUGCGAGUUCAUAAAAUAAGGAAGGUAUAGUUUGAUGAUUCUUUUUACUCAUCUUGUUGUUCCACAUGUUAGUUCACAUAUGUAUCCUGUUGAUGUUAACCAUCUAUUGAAGAUAUAUGUGAUUGCAUCCUCAUUCUCCCUUCUAUAUGUCAGUGCACUAAUUGGUGAGUAUAACACUGGAUACCUGUUUCAGUGCCAGAUAGCUUCAGAAUAGUUUCAAGCAUGUCUGUAAUACCUCUCUCCCACUUUUCACUGUACUUGUGUCUCAGACUUGCAUCUGAACUCUCUUCCAUAUGUUAGUGUGCUUAUUUGAGAGUAGCAAUAGACACCUGCUUCAGGGCCAGAUAACUUCAAAAUUGUUUCAAGCAUGUUCGUUGUUCCUAACUCUCUGUUGCCUCCCUCUUGGACUUGUGUUAAAAACAUCACAAAGAUAUACAUGAUGCCUGGAUUGGUUUACUAAUUAAUGUGCAAUUGCAUCUGAACUCUCUCUUCCAUAUGUUAGUGUGCUUAUUUGAGAGUAGCAAUAGACACCUGCUUCAGGGCCAGAUAACUUCAAAAUUGUUUCAAGCAUGUUCGUUGUUCCUAACUCUCUGUUGCCUCCCUCUUGGACUUGUGUUAAAAACAUCACAAAGAUAUACAUGAUGCCUGGAUUGGUUUACUAAUUAAUGUGCAAUUGCAUCUUAGGUCAUUAGGUUCCAUUACUCUAAAAUUUAUGGCUGUGGAUCCUUGUCAUAGUGCUAGAUAACUUCAAAAAAGUUUCAAGCAUCUUCAUUGCUUCUAUCUAUCUAUCUUUACGUGCAAGCAUGAAUAGAAUAAAUAAAUAAAUAAAUAAAAACCUAUUUAUCUAUCCUUAAGAUUUAUAGCAAUGGAUAUUUGUUAUAGUGCUUGAAACUUCUUUUCAUUGUUUCAUUGCUUCUUUACAGAUUUUUUAUUUUUUAAAUAAACAGUGUGUUUGGGAUAUCUUUCUUGCAAGUCCUCUCCCUAGAUUUCUCUCCUGUUUUUAAAAUUAAAUUUAAAUAGAGGAACAAACAUCUUCUUUACUUUCUUGUCCCUUUGGAAAUCUCCCUAUCCCCAGCCAACCCUCUUGCCACUUGAGCCAGGCCUCAAGGGCAAUGGCAGGAACCAACUUAUUGCUUGGGUAGUCUGGAAAAUGAUUUACGUUACUAUCAUUUUCCAGAAAGUACGGUGUAAGCAUGUAACAUAGAUGUCAGCCACUUUGCUGGAAAGCUUAUUGGCAUUUCUUGAGGUCUGAGUUUGAGUCCCUAUGUGAUCUAG